This 375-nucleotide long non-coding RNA is filed under the name Rattus norvegicus (Norway rat). RNAcentral's name for it is "long non-coding RNA NONRATT008553". Lineage: Eukaryota; Metazoa; Chordata; Mammalia; Rodentia; Muridae. The record is from RNAcentral.
GGCUCACCCCAAGCUUGGGAAGACUAUCCGAAACCACAUGGCCAAGGGUUGGAGGCUCUGCCAAUCGAAGGCCAAGGUUCAAACCAAGGCAGAGGCCAAGGCUCCAGUUAAGGCCCAGACUCUAGUUCCAUCCCAGGCUCCCAAAGGUGCCCAGACCCCUGUGAAGGCCCCAUAGAAAAGGGUCCUGCCAAUGUGAAGACAGACGGACUGCUGUGACGCACCCACCUACACACUAUUUGCAGAUGACCAGUGUCCUAUGCUGUUUUUACAAACAAACAUGAGACAAGAAACCAAAAGAAAGCAAUUGAAUUCUCUACAUCAGACACAGAUUUUAAGGUUUAGGUUCAUUUUUGAGUAAAGCUAAAUCAAAGGAUA